GACGAACGCUGGCGGCGUGCUUAACACAUGCAAGUCGAACGGAAAGGCCCUGCUUUUGUGGGGUGCUCGAGUGGCGAACGGGUGAGUAACACGUGAGUAACCUGCCCUUGACUUUGGGAUAACUUCAGGAAACUGGGGCUAAUACCGGAUAGGAGCUCCUGCUGCAUGGUGGGGGUUGGAAGGUUUCGGCGGUUGGGGAUGGACUCGCGGCUUAUCAGCUGGUUGGUGGGGUAGUGGCUUACCAAGGCUUUGACGGGUAGCCGGCCUGAGAGGGUGACCGGCCACAUUGGGACUGAGAUACGGCCCAGACUCCUACGGGAGGCAGCAGUGGGGAAUAUUGCACAAUGGGCGGAAGCCUGAUGCAGCAACGCCGCGUGCGGGAUGACGGCCUUCGGGUUGUAAACCGCUUUCGCCUGUGACGAAGCGUGAGUGACGGUAAUGGGUAAAGAAGCACCGGCUAACUACGUG
This 468-nucleotide ribosomal RNA is filed under the name uncultured bacterium. RNAcentral's name for it is "partial 16S ribosomal RNA". It matches the Rfam family "Bacterial small subunit ribosomal RNA", at positions 28 to 507 of the family's 1533-position model. The record is from RNAcentral.